GAUGAACGCUGGCGGCGUGCCUAAUACAUGCAAGUCGAGCGAACAGAUGAGGAGCUUGCUCCUCUGACGUUAGCGGCGGACGGGUGAGUAACACGUGGAUAACCUACCUAUAAGACUGGGAUAACUUCGGGAAACCGGAGCUAAUACCGGAUAAUAUAUUGAACCGCAUGGUUCAAUAGUGAAAGACGGUUUUGCUGUCACUUAUAGAUGGAUCCGCGCCGCAUUAGCUAGUUGGUAAGGUAACGGCUUACCAAGGCAACGAUGCGUAGCCGACCUGAGAGGGUGAUCGGCCUCACUGGAACUGAGACACGGUCCAGACUCCUACGGGAGGCAGCAGUAGGGAAUCUUCCGCAAUGGGCGAAAGCUUGACGGAGCAACGCCGCGUGAGUGAUGAAGGUCUUCGGAUCGUAAAACUCUGUUAUUAGGGAAGAACAAAUGUGUAAGUAACUAUGCACGUCUUGACGGUACCUAAUCAGAAAGCCACGGCUAACUACGUG
This 497-nucleotide ribosomal RNA is filed under the name uncultured bacterium. RNAcentral describes it as "partial 16S ribosomal RNA". It matches the Rfam family "Bacterial small subunit ribosomal RNA", at positions 28 to 507 of the family's 1533-position model. The record is from RNAcentral.